This 83-nucleotide transfer RNA is filed under the name Oesophagostomum dentatum (nodular worm). It matches the Rfam family "tRNA". Rfam says of the family: Transfer RNA (tRNA) molecules are approximately 80 nucleotides in length. Lineage: Eukaryota; Metazoa; Nematoda; Chromadorea; Rhabditida; Strongylidae. The record is from Rfam by way of RNAcentral.
GGCGCGAUGGCCGAGUGGUUAAGGCGUUGGACUUAAGUUCCAAUGGAUGUACGUCCUCGUGGGUUCGAACCCCACUCGCGCCA